Molecule: long non-coding RNA, 1302 nt
Filed under: Gallus gallus (chicken)
Lineage: Eukaryota; Metazoa; Chordata; Aves; Galliformes; Phasianidae
Description: long non-coding RNA NONGGAT002275
Source: RNAcentral
CCUCGCUCCAGGUCAGCCUGCCACAGCAUCAGUGCCCACUGCCAUCCUGCCAGAUCAGGGCAGAGCCACGGAAAAGCCCAUGCCCAGGGCACAACAGAGCUGAACAGAGCUCUGCGCUCAGAGUAACAGAAUGAAUCAGGGCAGGAGCAAAUCCUGCCAGCAGCGAUGCCGGUGUGAAGCUGAAGCAAUCGCACAGUGUCAUGGCAGCAGGACCAAGCGCAGAGCUGCAUCCAGAGUGCUCAGAGGGUGAAGCUACCCACAGCGAUGCACAGCACAGCUACAGCAACAGAAGAUGAAAGUGCCCAAGGUCCAAGAAGCAGAGGUGCGAUUGCCUGGCUUGGCACCACUGCCCUAAGCAGACUGGAACAUAGGAUGGGAAGAAACAUCACCAGCGUGGGUGUUUUUGUUCCUUGGCAGUGAUCACAGCCUCACUGGUGGCAGAGAAGAAAUAUUAUAUGCAUAACAAUUUUUGUCUUGGCAGGUGCACAUCUUGUAUGUCUUGUUAUCUUAUCCAGCAGGCUGGCCUCUGUCCCAGGGCAGGGAUCCACUGCUCUAGAUCCAGCCUUAGCAUCACAGACGUAUGGAAUAUGCUCUCUCCUGAAUAAUCCUGAUGCACAAACAUAUGGGCUAAACCCAGCAAGCAACUUCAGACCUCAUGUGAAUACACUUACAUAAUAAAACCUACAAAUCAGAAAGGUAUUUCAGCCUUGCUGUCCCAAGUGCCUCAUCUGACAGUUUGCAAGUGCCUUAAUGGCUGUACUUUAAUACUUCGUUCUAAAAUAGCGCUUAGUGCUUCCUUUUUUAAACAGUCUUGUUGAGAGUUACAACCUGAAACACUACCAACAUGUAUUUUUUUCCUAGUCUUUACAAUUCCUGUACAACUUCAAGGUUAAGAAGCAGGAGACAUGUAAUUGUAUAAAAGACUAAGCCGUACCGUAAGCGCAGCUGAUUCUCACAUGAAAUCCAGCAUAGUGACUUUGCAAUACACUGCCACACUGCGAGCAGAACGUCCUUAUCUUCAUUACAAUUUGCCUAUAUGCCAACCUAGUAAGUCUGGACUCUGUAAUGAUGCCCAGGAGGGCAGAACCAGAUGAAAGAGAACCUCCCUACCUCUUCCCCCACACAGCAUCCAUUGCAGUCAGCAGUUGUAAAGUGACUUCUUCGAACAAAAAUCCCGGCUCAGCUCAGUGGAGAACGGAGUCCGCAGCUAAGAGUCACGCUGCUGCAUUGCAUUCUGCCUUCUUUUCUGGGAGGAUAUAAGGCACCACUCCCAAUGCAGAACAGCAGUGUGCUCUCCAGGGG